This 8589-nucleotide long non-coding RNA is filed under the name Paramuricea clavata. Lineage: Eukaryota; Metazoa; Cnidaria; Anthozoa; Malacalcyonacea; Plexauridae. The record is from RNAcentral.
CUCAAAACAAACGCAGGGUAAUUACUUAACUGGGGUAACUAUUAUGUUGUGGCAUGAUUUCGACUUGUCAACCAUCAAAGAAAGACCUGCUUGAGUUGCAUGUCUAGGCAGUCUUGGAACCAAGUCCAGUUGAUUUAACACCGUGUAAGGUAGGUACCUUUUAUGGUUGUUUUAUAUGAUGUUCAUUAUUAAAUGAUGUAAUUGUGUUAUAUUUGAUUGCAUUUGCAAAUCCUAAAUAAUUUGCCAGACUAGUUUUUACGUGAGAUAUUACUGCAUGAUUUAUACAAAUGUACAGUACAAUAUUGAUGUACUGGUUGUAAUAAAAGACAUGUUUAUAUCUAAUAUGCAAAUCUGGACUAACACAGUUGUCAGUUGCGGAGAUAUUUAAGUUGCUAAAUCAGAUUAAGUGGGGCUAGACUCACAGAUCAACCUACACAAAGUGUUACUACACGUGGUGUACUGCAUUAGUAAAAAAUGGUAUAUGUGUUUAACUAGUAGAAGCAGAGGACUUAUAAUAAUCUGUAAUCCAUACUUCAAAUAUGUGUAAAUUCAUGCAUAACAUUUGCAAACAUUCUGAAUUACCAUACUACGGUAAAACGAUAUACGAAAGUGCUUUUUAACCAUAUAUAUAUAUGCUUCAAAUGAUACCACAGUGACUUUAACCGUUGCAAAAUGUACCAUGCAUGCAUUCAUGCAUUCAUCUAGCUAACCAAUCCAGCUUUCAAUAAGAUAAAUCAAACCCUGCUUGACCAAUUCUAGUAUCUACGAGAACAUAGUACAAUAUCAGUGAAGCUUCUUCGAAUUCCACUAUAUGUUUGUCUAGUUACCAUUCAAAUAUCUUGUAAAAAUGAAUGUGUAUCAACUAAAAAAUGAGGGACACAUGCGAAGAUAUAAAAGCGUGCAAGCUUCAAGUGUCUAAUUCUACACUGCAGGGUUAAUGAAGGUGUAUAGUUGGCAAUUGUGGCUUAAAUGAAUGGUUCAGUAACUUUCUAGAAUAUCUUCAUUAGUAUACAAAAUAGCGUAAAUAUAUGUGGUUUUACCAAGCGAUGUCAUGCAGUAGAUGGUAAUUAACCUGCAAUUAUACCAGACGGUGAGAAAAUAAUGUUCUAGUUGAUUCUUUUCAUUCUAUAUGUAAUAGUCUCGUGUUUUGUGGCAAACAGAUGGAAUUGAGAGCUUGUAGUUUAAUUUGCAUGCUCUUAUGUAGAAGUGUCGACAUUUGUGAGCCUGACAACCAUCUCACUGCGUUUGACUGAAACUUAUCUAUAGUGUAUCGGACAAAUGCAACAGACUGGUGAAAAUUAGAUUCUUGUUCGAGCAAUGCACAUACAGGGUUGUUACACCCCGAUGCAAAUUCCUCGCUAUCAAAUUUAAAUGCCUCACUAGCUAAUGGAAUUUUAAUUAUAAACGCCGUUUCAUCCAAUUCCGGUGGAGCUUUGCGGAGUGAAGGCGGAGAGAGUUCUAGUGCGUGCAAACACAUUAAUGAAACAAAUACUGAAUGCAAUCAAGUACCGUUUGACUUGUAUUUGUUUGUUUGGAAUUUCAUUCUUGAUUUGAUAUAACACAGCAGGCUACGGAUAUAUACUUGAAGCUGAUUUCUAAAUAGCGCACGCAAGCUUCAAUUUAUCCCAAGUUCCAAAGUACUUCGAUUUAACUGUUAGAGAGCAUUGCUACAUUUACGGAAAAGCUUUUGGAUUUUUAAAGAAGUUUUUUUUUUUAAAGAGAGAUAUAUAAAAUUCAUCUAUUAGGGCGGGCACAAUACGCAUGAAUGCGCAAGCGACGCGCACAAAGGAGUGAAUAUCAAUGUUUAAAUGCCAGUGUGAUUGUAUGUAGAAAACAUUUUCCUUUUGAAGUUACUUGCAGGGAAUCUUAAAGUGGGCCUAAAACAAACUUGCAAAUACAUAGGUUUAGACUGAAUAUAACCUGUAUAAUCUUAUAAUACUCUUAUAAAGCGAAGAUGCUUUAAUUGUUACAACACUAUAGUAAAAAGUGAACAAAACGAAGACGUAUUAAAUCCUUAAUCUUCAAAUGCCAUGCAUGCAGUCAUCACUAUAGUGAGUCAUGCAUGACCAUCAAUAGUGCAAGUUUUGCUUCAGUUCGGGAUGAAUGCAACGCAAGGAAAUUUUCACGGCGUAUAUGAGCGCAUAUUUGCAAUAGAAUACAUCAAAAUACCAUAGUCCAUACCAUCAAUAUAUUACAAUCGGUCGUAACUCUCAUUCUAUAUUUCAUUCAGUUUUGGUACUCACGCCCAUUAUUGAGUUACACUAUAAACCGCUAGAAACAUACGAACUGUACUUCAUGUAAGAAGUAACAUAGUGUGGCAUGCGCAUUUGAAAUAUUAACUAUAAAGGCUCUUGCUUCACUCAUCGAAAGAAUCAACUCGUUGAUUAACAUAAACUGUCAAACAUUGUGAUUGAAUGUGUUGACUCUUGUGAUGAGUGCAUUAAAGAGCAGUGGAACUGAAGAGCUCUUUUUCACUAAUCAAAAACAGCGAGUUGCGAGUACUUUCGUCCAAUUUAAUACAUUUAAUAUAUUUUGUAUUCAUGUUCUAGUAUAUUGGUAGUUUGAGUGAAGUUUGUUUGUUUGUUUCUUUCCAAUCGCAAGCACUCGCAUUGAGCUUGAAAGUUAGUUUCGCGAUGAAUGAAAACGUGGCCUUGAGGCAUAAAGCAUAUAUAGCAAGAUUUCUAUAAGAAAUUGAGAACUGGACAUUAUGUUUGCACUCAGUAGAGGCUAAAGUUCUUUAUAAGUUCGCAUGGUUAUCAAUACUGAGAAAUGAAAUGAUGAUUAAUUAAUAUAUCGGCCAUCAAAAGCUUUCCGAAAUAAGCUUAAGAGACGUGAUGUUUUGUACACAAAACAAAGUAAUUAAAUAAUAAGUUUACCUUGAACCUCAUAUACGACAAUUAAAACAGCGAUUAUGAUAUUGCUUUUGGAGCGAAUCUUUUGUCCAUUUCAAAACGAUAAUAACUUAAUUUUAGACCAUAAUUCUAGACUUGUUUCUAACGGAUAUGGGCCCUUGAAAGACAUCAAGAGAGGGAGACCGAUAUUACACUGGCACCAAUAUAGCUCGUUUUUUAUAAACAAUAACGACUAUUCGAGCGUCUAAAUUAAAAGUUUAACCCAUAGGCGAAACACUUAUGUGCUUCUAAUAGAACUGGCUCAUUUAUUCCCAUUUGGUCAUUUCAAAACAUUGCACGUUACGCAUUUCAGGGAGCUUCCGCUGGAUAGCAGGAUUGACAUAAGACCGGCAAUAGUUGGCGAUGCAAUAUUUUUCUUAAAUCUAAUUUUCCGACAAUGGGGAAAAAGCAUUAAAGACAUAAUCCUUGGUUCUUCUAUAUCUUUCUUAUAUGUUUUCUACGGUAUUUUGUUGAUUGUAUAAGGCUCUGGGGGCUCAAUUUUCCUCUAUUUUUAUCAUGCAGGAACAAUAACUAAGAGAUAAUCCUUAUAUACUGGACCUCUAGGGAGAACAGUUCAGAACUGAUAGAGCUAUCCAGUAUAAAUAAAGAUUUGUUUGGCUCAGUGGUAAGAAGGUAUAGCAUCUAAAAGAAAAUCGAACCGCAGCCAUUCCUCACUGAAAUUUUGAGAAAAUGUCGGAAAAUAGAAGUUCUUUCAUAUCGGAAAAUAUAUUGGAUCUAUGCACCACCCUGCUGCCGGAAUACAAGUGCCGGAAUACAAGUGCCGUCAUAUUGAAGGGCGGGGGAUCAGCGGGUGUAUAACUAAAGUUUCCUUUGGGGUAAAAUAUAUGUACUGUAAAAACGUUCAAGACAUGAGUAUACAAGUAGACAUACAAAGAGUAAAGGCCACUAGUGAGAAUACGUUUGUAAUUGGUGUUACCCUCGUUAAAUAAAGUUUAUUGUAAGUUCUUUGAAUGUUUGCAUGGCGAUAAAAUAUAAUUGUUUUUGUUUGUGGAAACACCACGUAAAUUUAUUAUACUGCAAAGCUUUCGAUCCGUAAGCCCGGAUCUUCAUCAGUGCUUAUUAUACACUAUUAUUAGCACUGAUGAAGAUCCGGGCUUACGGAUCGAAAGCUUUGCAGUAAUAAAUUUACGUGGUGUUUCCACAAACAAAAACAAUUAAAGAUUAUUGUAUUGUAUUGUAUUAUGCCUUUGGCUUUGAGGAACAGAAAUAAUGAAAUUGGUACCCACAGAUCAGGGGCCAGUUGUUCAAAGCUGGAUCAGUUCUAACUCGCGGUUCAAAUUUAACCUUCUGGGGUUGUUUGUACGAAUUAGGCUGGAUAACGCUAUCCACUGCAUCGUGAUUUUUCAACAUUGAUAUCGUUUAUUUUCACGUCCUUUUACUUCAAAACUUCAGAAAAAAAUCUUUUUUUGAUCCAGACAAGAUUGUGGGGGAAAUAUUUCCAUGUUUAGAAACACACUGUUCGGUGACGACAGCUUUGACGGGUUUUGGUAAACUAGGAAUGGUUAAAGGUUUUUGUCGAUGAAAAUUUCGAGUGUAAACGAGUCAUAUCGUAUCAAGAUCCUGAUAUUGAUCACGAUGAUUCAUUUUCAGUGACAGAUUACAUCAAGUAUUACGCUUACUUGUAUUACCUACUAAGUUUAGACUAUUUAUCUUUACAACAAUUGUGAUAUUACUUUCUUAACUGUGUUUAUCCUAACCCACUCUGUCAACUUUCCCUGUGGGAGGAAACCGGAGCACCCGGAGAAAACCCACGACUUUCGGCAGAGCGUUGACAGACUCUUUUCUUCUUUUCACAUGAGUCCACCCACGAUCUCAGACGUGAAAGGCGCGUGCUCUGACGAGUGGGCUACCGAAGCCCCCUUAAUAUGGAUCCAUAGGACUGAAGCUAACCAGCUUUCGAAAAACCUUCCCCAGUGUAGCAGCUUUUUACAAGGGCGGGGACGAGGCUACCUCGCCAACCAGGUCGUUGUUAUCUUGAUCCUGAGUUAGAAUAGCUAUCAAUCAUGUUUCGAAUAUGUAUAAUCAAAUAGAUUCUUAGAAAAAUGCAAUUAUGUAUAGUGUUAACUGUUGUGUCAAUAUAAACUUAAAUUGGAUUGGUCUCGAUUUUGUGUCCCUGGCUAUCAGUUAGAAGCACGCGUUCGAUAAUCGAUUGAUAAACCGAUAAAAAUAUCUUCAUCCAGUACUUAUAGUUUUAUAAGUUUAGUUAAGAGUUAUCCAAUAUUGUUUCAGGUUAGCUUGGUGAUUCAAUUAUGCAUGUAAUUGACACAUUACGGUGAGCUUUGAAGUGAUCACAGGCCACAGCAAAGACGAUACAAUGAGUUCGUCAUCAUGUCUCCUACAUUUGAAUAACAAUGUUUAAAUGCCUCUAAAGGCCGUUUUCCACUAGGCGAAUUUUUUCGCGCGACGCGAAGCGAAAACCGAAAUCCGGCAACGUGAUUGGUCGGCGAAAAAAUUCGCGGCGAAAAAGUAGGAUCGCUUCCUACUUUUUAUCUGUUCGCGCGAAUAAAUUCGCCUAGUGGAAAACGGCCUUAAAGCCGUAAUGCUCCAUCGAUCCAACCACAAACUCCAUGAAAGAGUGCUUUAUCAAAUUCCGCACUACUUUCCACAAGUGCUUCAAUUUGCGUUCGUCAUUUACACGUGGUAUUCAAGUAGCAAUUAUCUGAAAUGCACCCCUUUUAUAGCCUCGCCUCUAGCGUCGUCAUACAAUUUAGUAUUUAUAGCAUAGUGAGUAGCUUAGCUGCCUUUCUGUAACCAAGGUUCUACUCCUGCAGUAUAUAUACAGUGUUAAUGCUAUUUUCUGAGCGUUUCAAGUUUAAACAAAAAGCGCAGGUUUAGUUUUGUAACACUGGACUUAAAAUAAUGGAUGAUCCUUACCUAUAGGAAGAACAGUUUAGAAGUCAGUGAUCAUAUAGUAGAGCUAUCCAAACUGAAGAUUCUAGAAACGUUGUACCAAAUUAAAUGCUGUAUCGAUUCAGUUUACAUUUUUGAAUCAAACUAAAUUAAAACGAGCCGUCACACAUUAUUAUGCCAUUGUAUUCACGUAGUAUUGUGUACAUAGCUAUAGUUUGUUUAUUGAACACUGUAUAAGAGUCUUCUCUGUUAAGUACAUACGCAAAAACUUCCGUAACGUUGUAUAUGAUCAAAUUACUCCGUGCUACUAUAAGCUAUAUAGCAGGCCGGUCCAGAUUGGCAAAUCUACGAGAAAAAUUGUGGUGCGGUCUAUAAAGGCUAAAUACUGAGUCAGUUUCCUCAAACAUUUCUUACAAAUCUUUCGAUACUUUCUGACUUGUCAGUACCGUCAUGUCUGACGCCGGCAUUCAUUCAAUUAAGUACUUUAGUACAAAUAUAUCCCAUUUUGUUUCCGCAACGUUCUAUAAAUACUUUAUCAGAAUACUUUGCGCUCUCAUAUAAGCUACCGUACGAGGUCCAGAUCACAACUCUGCGAGAAAAUAAUUUGUGGUGUCGAUAUAAAGUUUGUGUUGUACUAAAUAUCGUUUUUCUUGUUGUUUAUAACACGAAUGCAAGUUUUAAAGAGUUACUUCUGCUACUGCCACUAUCCGGUAUGGGCAAAGUUUUAAUUUUACUCGAUAGUUUUAGUCAUGUGGGUGCAUUAUUUUAUUGAAUUUUGAGUCAAAAGUACUCGGGUUUUUUUUGCAGUGUGAGCCUCGGACACAUUGGACGACCACACCCUGUGUAAAUGACAAUAAAUAUAAUGUAUAAUCUGAGUAGUUGAUUGUGUAAAGUUAGUAAAAAAGACAAAACUCUGAAAGACUAGUAAUUAAGUUCGUAGAAAGUUUCACAAGCAGCAACUUCAUACGAUGAAAUUUUUAUCUUUUAUAGUAGUAACCUCAAUGACCAACGAGUGAUAUAGUGACUCUCCAUGAGCAGAUUCCUUUCUCAAGAAAAUGCGUGCAUGUGUAUUGUAUAGAAUAGCGAAGCACGUCAAAAACGUUCUCGAUCUUACAAGGCCAAGGGCCCAAGGAUAUCAAACAAAGAGCUUACGAUUAAAUAUACUGCGAAGCUUUUUUCAAUAGGCAUUCUCACGGAAAGCCUGAACAGGUUUUUACCAAUUGAUCUCGAGGGCUUAUUGUUUGCAGUGCUUCUAUAUGAGAAGACGUAAAUAUUUAACAAAUUAUGAACAUAUAUAUCUUCAAUUCUUUUACGAUCUUGGGCGAGGAUUGAGUAAAAGUUGGAGAGAAUCCAAAUUGAAUAAAAAAUGAUUACGUACAAUUUCCGAGAUGAAUAAGUAGCAUGUACGCAAGCGAAAACUAUAGUAUAAAUAUGAGUCACUUUUUAUGGGAAGUUAGUAUACGUGUUAUGAGAAAAUUAGCAAUGGCAUUAAAGCAGGCAUUAAAAUAGCGUGUCCUUGUACACACUUUGUGUCCUUGUAAAAGGCGAAUGUGCCCUUGUAAAUUGAAAAGUGUGUACUUGAAAAUAUAUUAAACUAAAAAUAUAUUAAUGUAAUCCACGCAAAAUGGCGAAAGAUUUUGCAAAUUCUGUUCUCAGAACUCUGGAAAUGCCAUUUCAGAGACCCCUUAAAAGCUCGCGUCUUCGAUGCCGCUAAACUUGUACUGGCUUCGCCACUCGUUCUCGUGAGUCUGCGCAUUAAUUUAUACCAAAAAUACGCCUCUGAAGGUGUGUCCUUGUAAAAGUGUGUCCUUGUAAAAAUUCCGUAUUUUAAUGCCUGCAUUAAAGUGACAGACACAGAGUCCCCCUGGCUCGCACAAUGGUUAGGAACUAUAGUUGAUAUCUGCGUAACAGUGCUAUAAUGUUCGUCUUGACGUAAAAUGUAAUGUGUAUAGUAUAAAUAGUGAAAUAGCUUAAACUAACUGUAUUUAUACCAGUUCCAUUCUAACAAUUUUCCCUUGUGGUUCGGUAAGGGACAUUCUGUUAUACUGGAUAGCAUUUCCAGUUCUAAACUCUUCUCUUAUAGAAACAUGCAGGAGCACCUAGAGUAUGUAGUCUUCUCAAAUUCAAUGCCGGAGUCUUUAAAGAACGAAGCAUUUAAAAUUGACAUUCUUUUCUGAUUUCGCCAUGUUUACAAGGAAUUAAUAGGUGUAAUAUGUCAAAGUGGACGGGUAUUCUGCAAUCUAACCAAAAUGACAUAAUAAUUGCAGGAAUUGAACCACAGUUGGGCGACCACUGUUGGCGUCUUCAUAAUCGAGCAGUCAUAAUUUCAUAUUAUCCCACAGGUUUGAGCAAUGAGCAGUAUUGGAAGUCAGUCUCAGUCCAACCGACCAGCCUUAUUCCCAGUGGAAUGGCCGCUGACCCAGAUCAAUGCAGGCAACAAAAGACAACCCAUAGCCCGCAACGAGCUAACACCCAAGCCCAAACGUAGAAAAGCAGAACACUCUAAUACCCUGACCCGCAACCAAUUGUCCAGAACAACCGCUGAACACUACACACAGACUGACAACAAACCAACCGCAAGGGAACUGGGAACUAAUGCCCAGUGUCAUAACCGAGGGACUUCCAUCAGUGACGUCAAAUACGAGCCCGCAACACCGACCGCUGUCCCUAAUAUUUUUAAAUCUCUCGAUCACGAUGAGGCAAGCUGGUUAGUGGAGGAGGUGAAUGAAGCGAACAAGAGUAUUUUUGGAGCAGAGAAAACGGCUGAGAAAUUAAAGGAAGGCGAUGAAGAGCUCGACAGAAAGAAAACAUCACUGAGUGCUCUGAA